This is a long non-coding RNA of Arvicola amphibius (Eurasian water vole), 345 nucleotides long. RefSeq lists it as uncharacterized. The record is from RefSeq and is a predicted model, not a curated record. NCBI's taxonomy places the organism in Eukaryota, Metazoa, Chordata, Mammalia, Rodentia, Cricetidae. The transcript is spliced from 2 exons.
AACGAAGAGCAAGCUGGAGAACACCACCCCCUCCCUCCCACCAAGAAGCACUUUAGGGGCGCUUUAUGUAACUCAGAGAUUAGCCAACUCGAGGUGCCUGUGGAGAAGAGCCCCAGGAGAAGCCAGGUUUGACUGUGUGCCGAAUGCAUGCCUAGUCUCUACAGAAGCCAGAAGAGCCUGUGGGAUUCUUCAGAACUGGAGUUACAUGAGCAGCCAUGUGGGUGCAAGGCAAGUGCUGUACCACUGAGCUGGCUCCGUGGCAGUAACCCUCACACGUGCACUUAAGACAGACACACAGACAUAACUCAGCCUGUAACUCUUCCAGUAAAGGACUGUUGUUUUGUU